AAGGAAUAUUGGACAAUGGUCGCAAGACUGAUCCAGCCAUGCCGCGUGCAGGAAGACGGCCCUAUGGGUUGUGAACUGCUUUUGUACCGGAGAGAACCUACCUACGUGUAGAUAGCUGAUAGUAUGGUAAGAAUAAGCAUCGGCUAACUUCGUGCCAGCAGCCGCGGUAAGACGAAGGAUGAAAGCGUUAUCCGGAUUCAUUGGGUUUAAAGGGUGCGUAGGCGGGCUUGUAAGUCAGUGGUGAAAUCUCUCAGCUUAACUGAGAAACUGCCAUUGAUACUGCAGGCCUAGAGUAUAGAUGACGUUGGCGGAAUAUGACAUGUAGUGGUGAAAUACUUAGAUAUGUCAUAGAACACCGAUUGCGAAGGCAGCUAACGAAACUAUAACUGAUGCUGAGGCACGAAAGUGCGGGGAUCAAACA
This 421-nucleotide ribosomal RNA is filed under the name uncultured bacterium. RNAcentral describes it as "bacterial SSU rRNA". It matches the Rfam family "Bacterial small subunit ribosomal RNA", at positions 356 to 774 of the family's 1533-position model. The record is from RNAcentral.